RNAcentral lists this ribosomal RNA (507 nucleotides) under uncultured bacterium. Its description in RNAcentral is "partial 16S ribosomal RNA". It matches the Rfam family "Bacterial small subunit ribosomal RNA", at positions 28 to 507 of the family's 1533-position model. The record is from RNAcentral.
GACGAACGCUGGCGGCGUGCCUAAUACAUGCCAGUCGAACGCAUUUUCUUUCACCGUAGCUUGCUACACCGAAAGAAAAUGAGUGGCGAACGGGUGAGUAACACGUGGGUAACCUGCCCAUCAGCGGGGGAUAACACUUGGAAACAGGUGCUAAUACCGCAUAAUUCCAUUUACCGCAUGGUAGAUGGAUGAAAGGCGCUUUUGCGUCACUGAUGGAUGGACCCGCGGUGCAUUAGCUAGUUGGUGGGGCAACGGCCUACCAAGGCUGCGAUGCAUAGCCGACCUGAGAGGUUGAUCGGCCACACUGGGACUGAGACACGGCCCAGACUCCUACGGGAGGCAGCAGUAGGGAAUCUUCGGCAAUGGACGCAAGUCUGACCGAGCAACGCCGCGUGAGUGAAGAAGGUUUUCGGAUCGUAAAACUCUGUUGUUAGAGAAGAACAAGGAUGAGAGUGGAAAGUUCAUCCCUUGACGGUAUCUAACCAGAAAGCCACGGCUAACUACGUG